UACGGAGGGUGCAAGCGUUAAUCGGAAUUACUGGGCGUAAAGCGUAUGUAGGCGGUUUGAUCAGUCGGAUGUGAAAUCCCCGAGCUUAACUUGGGAAUGGCAUUCGAAACUAUCAAGCUAGAGUAGGCUAGAGGAAAGGGGAAUUCCGCGUGUAGCAGUGAAAUGCGUAGAUAUGCGGAGGAACACCAAUGGCGAAGGCACCUUUCUGGGGUCAUACUGACGCUGAGAUACGAAAGCGUGGGGAGCAAACAGGAUUAGAUACCCUGGUAGUCCACGCCCUAAACGAUGUCAACUAGUUGUUGGGAGGGUUUAACCUUUCGGUGACGAAGCUAACGUAUUAAGUUGACCGCCUGGGGAGUACGGCCGCAAGGUUGAA
This 376-nucleotide ribosomal RNA is filed under the name uncultured bacterium. Its description in RNAcentral is "bacterial SSU rRNA". It matches the Rfam family "Bacterial small subunit ribosomal RNA", at positions 524 to 898 of the family's 1533-position model. The record is from RNAcentral.